This 254-nucleotide ribosomal RNA is filed under the name uncultured bacterium. RNAcentral describes it as "partial 16S ribosomal RNA". It matches the Rfam family "Bacterial small subunit ribosomal RNA", at positions 524 to 776 of the family's 1533-position model. The record is from RNAcentral.
UACGUAGGGGGCGAGCGUUUUCCGAAGUUACUGGGCGUAAAGCGCGCGUAGGCGGUCCUUUAAGUCCGGGGUGAAAGGUUCAGCGCUCAACGUGAACAGUGCCCUGGAGACUGGGGGACUUGAGUGUGGGAGGGGGCAGUGGAAUUCCUGGUGUAGAGGUGAAAUUCGUAGAUAUUCGGAAGAACACCAGUGGCGAAGGCGACUUACUGGACACAUAUUGACGCUGAGGUGCGAAAGCGUGGGGAGCAAACAGG